Molecule: ribosomal RNA, 806 nt
Filed under: uncultured bacterium
Lineage: Bacteria
Description: bacterial SSU rRNA
Rfam family: Bacterial small subunit ribosomal RNA
Source: RNAcentral
GAAGACAAGCCCGCGGCUGAUUAGCUAGUUGGUGAGGUAAUGGCUCACCAAGGCGACGAUCAGUAGCCGGCCUGAGAGGGUGAACGGCCACACUGGGACUGAGACACGGCCCAGACUCCUACGGGAGGCAGCAGUGGGGAAUAUUGCGCAAUGGGGGAAACCCUGACGCAGCAACGCCGCAUGAAUGAAGAAGGCCUUCGGGUUGUAAAGUUCUGUCAAUUGGGAAGAAACCUCUGAGGUCAAUAGCCUUAGAGAUGACGGUACCUAAGAAGGAAGCUCCGGCUAACUACGUGCCAGCAGCCGCGGUAAUACGUAGGGAGCAAGCGUUAUCCGGAAUUACUGGGCGUAAAGGGCGUGUAGGCGGCUACUUAAGCCAGAUGUUAAAUGUUACAGCUCAACUGUAAACCUGCAUCUGGAACUGGGUAGCUAGAGGACGAGAGAGGAAAGUGGAAUUCCUAGUGUAGCGGUGGAAUGCGUAGAUAUUAGGAGGAACACCAGUGGCGAAGGCGGCUUUCUGGCUCGUACCUGACGCUGAGGCGCGAAAGCGUGGUGAGCAAACAGGAUUAGAUACCCUGGUAGUCCACGCCGUAAACGAUGAGUACUAGGUGUAGGAGGGAACAACCUUCUGUGCCGCAGCUAACGCAAUAAGUACUCCGCCUGGGGAGUACGCUCGCAAGAGUGAAACUCAAGGAAUUGACGGGGCCCGCACAAGCGGUGGAGCAUGUGGUUUAAUUCGACGCAACGCGAGACCUUACCAAAUCUUGACAUCGAUAGAUCUGCUGGAAGCAGCGAGUGCCCUUCGGGAC